RNAcentral lists this ribosomal RNA (450 nucleotides) under uncultured bacterium. RNAcentral describes it as "bacterial SSU rRNA". It matches the Rfam family "Bacterial small subunit ribosomal RNA", at positions 28 to 475 of the family's 1533-position model. The record is from RNAcentral.
GAUGAACGCUGGCGGCGUGCUUAACACAUGCAAGUCGAACGAAGCACUCUAUUUGAUUUUCUUCGGAAAUGAAGAUUUUGUGACUGAGUGGCGGACGGGUGAGUAACGCGUGGGUAACCUGCCUCAUACAGGGGGAUAACAGUUGGAAACGACUGCUAAUACCGCAUAAGCGCACAGGAUUGCAUGAUCCGGUGUGAAAAACUCCGGUGGUAUGAGAUGGACCCGCGUCUGAUUAGCCAGUUGGCAGGGUAACGGCCUACCAAAGCGACGAUCAGUAGCCGACCUGAGAGGGUGACCGGCCACAUUGGGACUGAGACACGGCCCAAACUCCUACGGGAGGCAGCAGUGGGGAAUAUUGCACAAUGGGGGAAACCCUGAUGCAGCGACGCCGCGUGAGCGAAGAAGUAUUUCGGUAUGUAAAGCUCUAUCAGCAGGGAAGAAGAAUGACGG